RNAcentral lists this microRNA precursor (100 nucleotides) under Rhinopithecus roxellana (golden snub-nosed monkey). Its description in RNAcentral is "miRNA (ENSRROG00000005200.1)". Lineage: Eukaryota; Metazoa; Chordata; Mammalia; Primates; Cercopithecidae. The record is from RNAcentral.
GAGGUGGGAGGAUUGCUUGAGCCCAGAAGGUAGAGGCUGCUGUGAGUUGUGAUUGCGCCACUGCACUCCAGCCUGAGUGACAGAGCGAGACCUUAUCUCA